This 252-nucleotide ribosomal RNA is filed under the name uncultured prokaryote. RNAcentral's name for it is "partial 16S ribosomal RNA". It matches the Rfam family "Bacterial small subunit ribosomal RNA", at positions 523 to 774 of the family's 1533-position model. The record is from RNAcentral.
AUACGAAGGGGGCUAGCGUUGCUCGGAAUCACUGGGCGUAAAGCGCACGUAGGCGGCUUCUUAAGUCAGGGGUGAAAUCCUGGAGCUCAACUCCAGAACUGCCCUUGAUACUGAGGAGCUUGAGUCCGGGAGAGGUGAGUGGAACUGCGAGUGUAGAGGUGAAAUUCGUAGAUAUUCGCAAGAACACCAGUGGCGAAGGCGGCUCACUGGCCCGAGACUGACGCUGAGGUGCGAAAGCGUGGGGAGCAAACA